GAUGAACGCUGGCGGCGUGCUUAACACAUGCAAGUCGAACGGAAAGGCCCAAGCUUGCUUGGGUACUCGAGUGGCGAACGGGUGAGUAACACGUGGGUGAUCUGCCCUGCACUUCGGGAUAAGCCUGGGAAACUGGGUCUAAUACCGGAUAGGACCACAUCUUGGAUGGUGUGGUGGAAAGUUUUUCGGUGUGGGAUGAGCUCGCGGCCUAUCAGCUUGUUGGUGGGGUAAUGGCCUACCAAGGCGUCGACGGGUAGCCGGCCUGAGAGGGUGUACGGCCACAUUGGGACUGAGAUACGGCCCAGACUCCUACGGGAGGCAGCAGUGGGGAAUAUUGCACAAUGGGCGCAAGCCUGAUGCAGCGACGCCGCGUGGGGGAUGACGGCCUUCGGGUUGUAAACUCCUUUCGCUAGGGACGAAGCGCAAGUGACGGUACCUGGAGAAGAAGCACCGGCUAACUACGUG
This 465-nucleotide ribosomal RNA is filed under the name uncultured bacterium. RNAcentral describes it as "partial 16S ribosomal RNA". It matches the Rfam family "Bacterial small subunit ribosomal RNA", at positions 28 to 507 of the family's 1533-position model. The record is from RNAcentral.